AUUUGAAAAGAUCUGAAGAUACGCCCCUUGGAUGCCUGCAGAGAAGCUCUGGGGCUUCAGUCAAUGACUCAGGGUAGCCACCGAACAUGAUGCUCGGGCAGUGGGUGCCACCUGGACUCCACUCUCCCCUCUCUCUGGGAUCAUAGAGUCCAAGGUGUUCUGUGGCCUCUCGGCCAAUCCCAGCAGCUCAGCGUGCAGAAGACCGAGGAGCCAUUGGAAUUCAACACAACACGAAAUAAUCAACAAAUUCGGGGAAUGUUAAUCUGACCAUCACCAGUUACAAAUGAUGUUUCAUGCUACCUUCUAUUCCUGCCUUCAUAAAUCAAGCUCUAAAUCUCCAGGAAAAAAUGUGCUCAGGAUGGCCAGAGAAAUGUCCUUCCAACUGUGCAUGGAAAGGUAUGAUUUUGUGCAGCAGGUGAAGGACUGGUUAGAGUAAGUGUGUGCUGAGCUUUUGUGUUUGAAAGCGAGCCUGUGCACUUCUAACGAUUGGAAGGUUUCCUUGCCUUCUCCGAUCUUACACACAGCAAGGACAGCAAAGCCUUCCAGACCUGCCUGUGACAUGCACUGCACAUUCUAAAGAUGCCUAUGCAAUGGAAAACACCACUGUCUGCUCCAGCACAGCUGCCAUUCUUCCAUCUUAUCGACCUUAAUGCAACAACUCCUCACAGGCAGAGAUUUUAAAAUGUGUUCUUGGCAGAAGAGAGACUCAAAGAUGGGACAAAUGUGUCAUUUAAAUGCCUGGAAAAGAAAAAGAGAACAUAUAUCCCCCUACCUUUUGAUUUCCAACAGUCUACUGAGAGGCCAAGAUUAUUUGCAGGGAAAGAAAAGGGGAAUGCCAUCCCCACCCUCUCGCAGCUACGUGCCAGUUCCAGAGCACCUGUUCCCCUCUACUUUGAAAAGGUCAAAAUGUUUUGCCAGUAACUCCCAAAUCAUCUACAGCCAAGGAGAAAAGUGUUUCAAGACAGAGGUGCUCAAUGGUAUCAAAUACUGCCAACAGACCAAGUAAUACAUGCAUUGAAGUGUCUACUGGAUCUAGCUAUAGGAUUCCACAGCUGUUUUAUAGUAACUCAGAGUUUGAAGAGAAAUUACUCCUGCAGUACCAGUUUCCAAAAUGCUUUGUAGCAUCUUCUCAAAAAACAAAUGGGAAGAAGCCAAUCAGAAAUAAGGGAUGGGGGAUACAAGUUACCAAAGUAGUGGCGAGAAAAGGAAUUUUUAAUUUAGGACACUUAGGCCAUACUGAAGCAAGGUGACAAAAUGAAUAGCUACAAUGUCUCGUGAAUCUUGGGUUUCCAUUCACCCUGGUAUUCAAGAGAAAUUCUUGCAUCAUGGAAGUUGCAGUUGGAUAGGACUUUCUCAGCUGAACACUGUCAUCUGCCAGAGCUUCAGGCAAGAACCCAGAACAGAUGAAACCCCAGACAUGACAAAAUAAGCCAAAGAAUACCAGGCCAAGGUGUGAAAGGCCAGAUGAGAACAAGCAGCGUACACGAUUCUGUUGCCAACAGAUCUCCCCUAACAGUGUCGUGCACCAAAUUUCCACAGUGAAUGUCAGGAAAAAAUGGCAAUUGAGGUGGGUGGUCAAAAGAGAAGCACAGUCUAUGAUGAAGUCACCCCAGAGAAGUCCUUUUUCCGUUUUCUCCUGAGAAAUUACCAGAAGAAAUUAAAAUCCUUUUGAGUAUUGCGAUGAAGAAACUGAGGCAGACAGAGGUGAAGAAACUUGCACAAGGUCAAAGAACAGAGAGUCACAUUAGCAGCUGGAUAUUCAGCUGUGAAGCUCAAGGAAGAAGUCAGGGCUGGAGAUAUAUGAAUGAGAACCAUCUGCAUAAAGAUGAUCUUUAAAAUCAUGGAGCUGGAUGAAAUCUCUCUCCACUCCUCCCCACAGGGGAAUGGAGCAAUGCCCAGGGCGCCCUGGGGCACCUCAACCUGCAGAGGCCAGUCAAGCUGGCAAGGAGUAACAGAAGACUGAUGAAGAAUGGCCAGCAAGAGAGGAGGGAAACCUGGAGGGCUUGAUGUCUCUACAAUGAAGAGAGCACUUCAUGGAGGAGGAAGUUGUCCCUAGGUUGAAUGCAGCUGAGGGACUAAUUAAGAUCACAGCUAAAUGGCCACUGGAUUUACCCAGAUGGAGAAGAAGAAGAAAAGCACCUACCUGGCAUGGAUGCCAUUCUUUAAGUACUUACAAUCCAUUCUCCCCUUACCCCGACUCCUACCUUUCUCCUUGCUGACAGAACAGGCCUCCCAUUACAAAGGCUGAGAAUACCAGAAACCCAAUGUCCCCUCCCUAAGGGAUCAGGCAUGGAAAAGGGAUUCCUCCCCUAAAAAACAGUCCCAUGGAAGAAGAUGGACAUGGUCCCCACGUGACGGCUGGAGUUGCUGUGAGCAUGAGGUGCGCCUUAUCAACAUGAUGAAGAUGGCAGACGGUGUACCAGGGUGCUGGCUGUAGUCCGUUUUGUGCUGUUAUAACAGAAUCACACAGACUGAGUAAUUGACAAAGAACAGAGAUUCAUUUCUCAGAGUUCUGGAGGCUGGGAAUUUCAAGCUCAAAACACCAACAUCCGUGUGAGCCUUCUUACGGUGUCCUCACAUGGCAGACAGCAGAAGAGCAAGAGAAGACAAACAUUGGGUCCUCACAUGGCAGAAGAGCGAGAAAAGGAGUGAAUCUGCCCCCACAAGCCCUUUUUACGGUGGCAUUGAUCCGCUCAUGACAUCAGAGCCCUCAUGACCUCACCACCUCCCAUUCAUUCUCACCUCCCCAGAGUCACAUUGAGGAGUAGGUUUCCAGCACAUGAAUUGUGGGGGACACAUUCAGACCAUAGAGGCUCUGAAUUCACCCUGGGCCUUCUCUGACCUCUUGAACCAUAACUAC
Molecule: long non-coding RNA, 2860 nt
Filed under: Homo sapiens (human)
Lineage: Eukaryota; Metazoa; Chordata; Mammalia; Primates; Hominidae
Description: long non-coding RNA NONHSAT156685.1
Source: RNAcentral